AGAUUAAUGGUAAUUCUGAGUAACUAUGUUCUGCAGGAGGGUUAUUUUGUAGUCAUUCUGUUGAUCUUCUUAUGUUAGCUCUAAAUAUAAUUGCUCGGUUUGUAACCAUUCUUUCUCAUAUAAUUACAAUGAAUAUAAUGAUUCCUACAAUAGAAAUUGUAGACCCAAUUCUUGAUACUACGUUUCAUGAUGUAUAUGUGUCUGGGUAGUCUGAGUAUCGUCGAGGUAUUCCUGCUAAUCCUAGGAAGUGUUGAGGAAAGAAUGUUAAGUUUACUCCAAUGAAUAUAAUUGUAAAUUGGAUUUUUAAUCAUGUAUUAUUUAUAGUUAAUCCUGUAAAUAGUGGAUAUCAUUGAAUGACACCUCCUAUAAUUGCAAAUACUGCUCCUAUAGAUAAUACAUAAUGAAAGUGGGCUACUACAUAAUAUGUACCAUGUAAUACAAUAUCAAGUGAUGAAUUUGCUAAUACUAAUCCUGUUAAUCCACCAGUUGUAAAUAGGAAAAUAAAUCCUAGAGCUCAUAAUAAUGGUGGAUUGAACUUGAAUUUAGUUCCAUAUAAUGUAGCUAAUGAUCUAAAUACCUUAAUUCCUGUAGGUACAGCAAUAAUUAUUGUUGCUGAUGUAAAAUAUGCUCGUGUGUCAACAUCCAUUCCUACUGUAAAUAUAUGAUGUGCUCAUACAAUAAAUCCUAUUAGUCCAAUUGAUAGUAUAGCAUAAAUUAUACCUAAUGUUCCAAAUGAUUCAAUUUUUCCUCUUUCUUGACAUACAAUAUGUGAAAUAAUUCCGAACCCCGGAAGAAUUAAAAUAUAAACUUCUGGGUGUCCAAAGAAUCAAAAUAGAUGUUGAUAUAGAAUUGGGUCACCCCCUCCUGCAGGGUCAAAGAAUGAUGUAUUUAAAUUUCGAUCUCUUAAUAAUAUAGUAAUAGCUCCUGCUAAAACUGGAAGUGAAAGAAGGAGAAGUAAUGCUGUAAUAGCUACUGAUCAUACAAAUAAAGGUGUUUGAUCUAAAGUUAUACUUUCUGAUCGUAUAUUAAUUGCUGUUGUAAUGAAAUUUACUGCACCAAGAAUAGAUGAUACACCUGCUAAGUGUAGUGAAAAAAUAGCUAGAUCUACAGAUGCACCCACAAUAGAUGAUACACCUGCUAAGUGUAGUGAAAAAAUAGCUAGAUCUACAGAUGCACCCCCGUGUGCAAUAGCUCCUGCUAGAGGAGGGUAUACUGUUCAUCCUGUACCAGCACCAUUAUCUACUAUAGAAGAUGUAAGAAGAAGGGUUAGUGAAGGUGGUAGUAAUCAAAAACUUAUAUUAUUUAUUCGUGGAAAUGCUAUAUCUGGUGCACCAAUUAUUAGUGGAACAAGUCAAUUACCAAAUCCACCUAUUAUAAUAGGUAUUACAAUAAAGAAAAUUAUUACGAAUGCGUGAGCUGUAAUAAUAACAUUAUAAAUCUGGUCAUCCCCAAUUAGAGAUCCGGGUUGACCAAAUUUAUAAUGUUAUUAUUACAGCUCACACAUUCGUAAUAAUUUUCUUUAUAGUAAUACCUAUUAUAAUUGGUGGAUUUGGUAAUUGACUUGUUCCACUAAUAAUUGGUGCACCAGAUAUAGCAUUUCCACGAAUAAAUAAUAUAAGUUUUUGAUUACUACCACCUUCACUAACCGUUCUUCUUACAUCUUCUAUAGUAGAUAAUGGUGCUGGUACAGGAUGAACAGUUUACCCUCCUCUAGCAGGAGCUAUUGCACACGGGGGUGCAUCUGUAGAUCUAGCUAUUUUUUCACUACACUUAGCAGGUGUAUCAUCUAUUCUUGGUGCAGUAAAUUUCAUUACAACAGCAAUUAAUAUACGAUCAGAAAGUAUAACUUUAGAUCAAACACCUUUAUUUGUAUGAUCAGUAGCUAUUACAGCAUUACUUCUCCUUCUUUCACUUCCAGUUUUAGCAGGAGCUAUUACUAUAUUAUUAACAGAUCGAAAUUUAAAUACAUCAUUCUUUGACCCUGCAGGAGGGGGUGACCCAAUUCAAUAUCAACAUCUAUUUUGAUUCUUUGGACACCCAGAAGUUUAUAUUUUAAUUCUACCGGGGUUCGGAAUUAUUUCACAUAUUGUAUGUCAAGAAAGAGGAAAAAUUGAAUCAUUUGGAACAUUAGGUAUAAUUUAUGCUAUACUAUCAAUUGGACUAAUAGGAUUUAUUGUAUGAGCACAUCAUAUAUUUACAGUAGGAAUGGAUGUUGACACACGAGCAUAUUUUACAUCAGCAACAAUAAUUAUUGCUGUACCUACAGGAAUUAAGGUAUUUAGAUGAUUAGCUACAUUAUAUGGAACUAAAUUCAAGUUCAAUCCACCAUUAUUAUGAGCUCUAGGAUUUAUUUUCCUAUUUACAAUUGGUGGAUUAACAGGAUUAGUAUUAGCAAAUUCAUCACUUGAUAUUGUAUUACAUGAUACAUAUUAUGUAGUAGCCCACUUUCAUUAUGUAUUAUCUAUAGGAGCAGUAUUUGCAAUUAUAGGAA
RNA transcript from Schistocerca gregaria, 2491 nucleotides. RefSeq lists it as uncharacterized. The transcript is spliced from 3 exons. Lineage: Eukaryota; Metazoa; Arthropoda; Insecta; Orthoptera; Acrididae. The record is from RefSeq and is a predicted model, not a curated record.